Molecule: ribosomal RNA, 253 nt
Filed under: uncultured bacterium
Lineage: Bacteria
Description: partial 16S ribosomal RNA
Rfam family: Bacterial small subunit ribosomal RNA
Source: RNAcentral
UACGUAGGGGGCAAGCGUUGUCCGGAAUCAUUGGGCGUAAAGCGCGUGUAGGCGGCCCGGUAAGUCCGCUGUGAAAGUCGGGGGCUCAACCCUCGAAUGCCGGUGGAUACUGUCGGGCUAGAGUACGGAAGAGGCGAGUGGAAUUCCUGGUGUAGCGGUGAAAUGCGCAGAUAUCAGGAGGAACACCAAUUGCGAAGGCAGCUCGCUGGGACGUCACUGACGCUGAGACGCGAAAGCGUGGGGAGCAAACAGG